ACUCCUACGGGAGGCAGCAGUGGGGAAUCUUGGACAAUGGGCGCAAGCCUGAUCCAGCCAUGCCGCGUGAGUGACGAAGGCCUUAGGGUUGUAAAGCUCUUUUGCCGGGGACGAUAAUGACGGUACCCGGAGAAUAAGUCCCGGCUAACUUCGUGCCAGCAGCCGCGGUAAU
Molecule: ribosomal RNA, 172 nt
Filed under: uncultured bacterium
Lineage: Bacteria
Description: partial 16S ribosomal RNA
Rfam family: Bacterial small subunit ribosomal RNA
Source: RNAcentral